UGGGGAAUAUUGCACAAUGGAGGGAACUUUGAUGCAGCGACGCCGCGUGAACGAAGAAGGCUUUCGAGUCGUAAAGUUCUUUUAUAUGGGAAGAUAAUGACGGUACCAUAAGAAAAAGCCCCGGCUAACUACGUGCCAGCAGCCGCUGUAAUACGUAGGGGGCUAGCGUUGUCCGGAAUCACUGGGCGUAAAGGGUUCGCAGGCGGAAAUGCAAGUCAGGUGUAAAAGGCAGUAGCUUAACUACUGUAAGCAAUUGAAACUGCAUAUCUUGGGAAGAGUAGAGGUAAGUGGAAUUUUUAGUGUAGCGGUGAAAUGCGUAGAUAUUAAAAAGAAUACCGGUGGCGAAGGCGACUUACUGGGCUCAUUCUGACGCUGAGGGACGAAAGCGUGGGUAGCAAACAGG
RNAcentral lists this ribosomal RNA (403 nucleotides) under Fusobacteriota bacterium. Its description in RNAcentral is "Fusobacteria bacterium partial 16S ribosomal RNA". It matches the Rfam family "Bacterial small subunit ribosomal RNA", at positions 355 to 776 of the family's 1533-position model. Lineage: Bacteria; Fusobacteriati; Fusobacteriota. The record is from RNAcentral.